GCAGUGGAGAGAAUGCAGGGAAAGGACCACAUUUAAAGGAGGCUGUUUUGCAGAGGCGGAGGCUUUUAUUGAAAAAACAGUGACUGCCUUUUUAACAGGUAGAUAUGGAAACCAUUGGGAGGAAGAGAGCUCCUUGCGGGACCGCGCUGGGUCGCACGUGGCUUCUGGUCCAGGUUGCCUGCAUUUCCGGGAGGUUCCUUGCAGGUGGUCCCCUGCCUUUUGUGCUGACCGCACGUGACCCGUGGAGGAGGACGGCGGUUCCUGUCCAGGCUCUCCUGCGUUUGUCCUAUUGGGACUCCUACCCCUGGGUUCAUUUUCUUGUUUUUUUGUGGUUUCGCAUGUUAACGAUCCUGUAGGUACUGGGCCUUAAUCCCUGGGAACUGUCGAUGUGACCUUAUUGGCAAAAAGGCCUUUGCAGCCGUUACUGAAUCAAGACUCUUGAGAUGGGAGGUGGCCCUGGGUGUCUGGAUGGGCCCUAAGUGCAGUCACAUGUCCUUAGGGAAGGGAGCCGGGGGAGAUUUGGUCGUGCACGGAGGAGAACACGAGGUGAGACGGGCAGAGGAGGAGAACACGAGGUGAGACGGGCAGAGGAGCCCUGAAGCUGCUGCGCACCGAGAGCUGCAGCCGGAAGCCGGGGAACUCCCGCAGCACCAGCAGCUGGAGGAGGGAGGGUGGGAGCUCCCCGGAGCCCCUGAGGGGCGCAGCCUGCCGACACCUUGACUUCAGCUCGGUGAGACCAGAUUCGGACGUCUGUCUCCAGAACUGUGAAAGGAUGUCUCUCUCACUCUAUCCAGCAAGGCUUUUGGUAACCUGAGAGCGGCCACGGGAAACAAAGUCAGACCUGGUAUUGGGAAGUGGGGAGCUGCUGCAACAAAGACCUGCAAAUGUGGACGCGGCUUUAGCUGGGUGAACGGGUCGAGGCUGGGAAAGCUCUGAGGUGCGCGUUAGCAGAGAUGGUUGGUAGAAGAAUGGGCAUUAAAAGUCUGCUGAGGACUCAGAAGGAAAUAAGAAGUGUUCUACUGGAAAUGGGAGUACGGGCAAUUCCUGUUAUGUGGUGGCAGGAAAUGUAGCCAAAUUGGGUCCUAUAGUUGUGUGGAAAGAAACACUUGUACGUGCUGGAGGGGGAUUUCCAAGCCGAGUGUUGAGGUGAAGCCUGGUUUCCUCUUGCUCUUUAUUGUGAAACACAGAAUGAAAAAGAUAAUCGAGGACAGAACUGUUCAACACAAAGGAACCAGCACGUGGUGGUUUUGGACCUUCUCAGCCUAUCCGGAUCACAAAGAAUGCUAAAAUUAGGAGCUUCGCUGUUGGGAAAGUGUGAUCUGUAGAGAAGGUGGAGGUUGAGGCUGGGCAACCUUUUGUUGAAGAGACUAAGUGCACUGAACCGUCUCAGCAGAAGCCAGCAGUAAAGAAGGAGCGAUCCAGGGAAGACGCGUGGGGGGUCCCCUUCUGGGGUGACACACACAGGAGACCCACACGCUUUUUGAGAACGUGCCAUCAGCAGAUACCGCUCGUGGCUUGAAGGGCACGGCUAGGGGUGAGGCUCUCCCCCAGCUUUUGUUUUAUCUGGGAAUGGCUCUAUCUCUCCCUUGCUUUUGAAAGAAAGUCUUGCCAGAUAUGAAAUUCUUGGUUAACGACUGUUUUCUUUCAGCACUUUAAGUAUUUCAACCCACUGCCUUCUUGCCUCCAUGGUUUCUGUUGGAAAAAAACCCAAAGAGCUCUUAAGCUAAUUGGGACUCUCUUGUAUAUAACAUGUUGCUUUCCCCUUGAAACUUACUGCAUUCUCCCCUUGUCCUUUGCACUGGACAGUUUAAUCAGUAUGUGACAGGGCAUAUUUUCUUCCAGAUUAUCCUGUUUGGUGUUCUCUGGGUUCCUUGUAUCUGCAUAUUCACAUCUUUUGCUAAGUUUGGGAAGUUCUCUGUCACUAUUUCUUUGAAUAUUCCUUCUACCCCUUUCUCUCUUCUUCUCCUUCUGGGACUCUCAUAAUGCAUAUAUUGGUAUGCUUGAUAUUGUCCCACAAUUAUCUCAGGCUAUUUUGUUUUUUUAUAAUUCUUUUUCCUUUCUGGUCCUCAGUCUGACUUGCUUCAAUUGUCUUGUUUUUUUUUUUUUCCAUUUUUUGUUUUUAUAGCUGCUCCCCCCCCCCCCCGCCCCUGCAGCUUUUUGGGUGCUGUCUGCUCUCUCUGUCCACUCGGUGUACGUUCUUCUGUGUCUGUAUUUACUUAUUUCAUUUCCCCUCCCCUUGCAGCUUGCUUGCUGUCUGCUCUCUGUGUCCAUAGGCUGUGGGCUCUUCUGUGUUCUCGCUUGCCUCCCUUCUUUUUGUUGCAUUACCUUCCUGAGUCAGCUCUCUGUGGCGUCUGCAGGCGGGGCGGUACUCCACAGCAUUUGCAGGCUGAGCGGCGCUCCAAAGUGUGCGGGCGAGCCCGCCUGCACAAGGAAGCCCGGGUCACGAACCGAGGGCCUCCCAUAGGGUAGACGGGAGCGCAUCUGAUUGAGCCACAGCCGCUUCCCCAGUUGUCUUGUUUUUUAUUUCACUGAUUCUUUCUUUGGCCAGCUCCAGUCUGCUCUGGAAACCCUCUUGGGAAUUUUUUUCUUUUCAGUCAUUGUGGUCGUCAAUGCUGGCUGUUCUGUUUGGUUCCUUCCUAAAAUUCCUCUCUCUUUACUGGUACUCUCAUAUUUUUCAUUCAUUGUUUUUGUGAUUUCCUUUAGUUCUUUCUCUAUGUUUUCCUUCGUCUCCUUGAGCAUGUUCAAUGUCAUUUACUUUAAAGUCGUCGUCCAACAUGGUCCACAGCCUGGUCUUAUUCACUGAUGUUUUCUGGAUUUCUAUUCUCUUCCUUUGCAUGGGCCAUUAUUUCCUGUUUCUUUGUCUUGUGAUCUUUUGUUGCAUACAUUUUAAUAUUUUAAAAUCUUAACUUGGGAUUUAUUCCCUGAAAUCUGUUUCUUGAGUUUGUAUUCAGCUGGUGAUAUCACAGAGAUUUUCUUGAGUGUCAGGAGUUAGUAAAACCAAGCAAACCUAAGCAAUAAAUGCCUUUCUCCAUCUUUGCAAAUUGGCUUUGCAUUGCCUUGUU
This 3062-nucleotide long non-coding RNA is filed under the name Dasypus novemcinctus (nine-banded armadillo). RNAcentral's name for it is "lncRNA (ENSDNOG00000050636.1)". Lineage: Eukaryota; Metazoa; Chordata; Mammalia; Cingulata; Dasypodidae. The record is from RNAcentral.